CGGGCACUUCAACUAAAUAGCGGUUCGAUCGCAGCGCUCGUUCACACAGUUUCUUACGACCGUAGUCUUGGGGAGCCUUGAGCAAAAAUCGCAACCUAACUACAAUUCUAAGAGUGAUCAGGAUGUCCAUCAAGAAAAUAUUCGCCCGUCAGAUCUAUGACUCUCGGGGCAACCCGACUGUCGAGGUAGAUCUGACCACUGCCAAGGGAGUCUUCCGUGCUGCCGUUCCUUCCGGCGCGUCUACCGGAAUUUAUGAGGCACUUGAGAUGCGAGAUGGUGACAAGGCUGUUCAUCACGGUAAAGGCGUUCUGAAGGCUGUCAACAACGUGAACAAUGUCAUUGCACCCGCGUUGCUUAAGGAAUCGUUUGACGUCAAGGAUCAACAAAAGAUCGAUGAAUUCAUGCUCAAACUAGACGGCACUGACAACAAGGACAAACUUGGUGCCAACGCUAUUCUUGGAGUGUCGAUGGCUGUGUGCAAGGCUGGAGCUGCUGAGAAAGGCGUGCCCUUGUACCGUCAUAUUGCCGAUCUUGCUGGUAACUCAAAAAUCGUCCUCCCAGUACCAGCCUUCAACGUAAUUAACGGCGGUUGCCACGCUGGAAACAAGCUGGCCAUGCAAGAGUUCAUGAUUCUGCCGACAGGCGCAGCAUCAUUCACGGAAGCUAUGCGCAUGGGCAGUGAGACCUACCAUCAUCUCAAGGCCGUGAUCAAGAAGAAGUUCGGGCUGGCUGCCACCGCAGUCGGUGAUGAGGGUGGCUUUGCUCCAGACUUCCAGGACAACAAAGAGGCACUCGAGCUGAUUAAAGAAGCUAUUGCCAUCUCUGGAUAUACGGGCAAGAUUGAGAUUGGCAUGGAUGUUGCUGCCUCGGAGUUCUGUCAAAACAAGAAAUACAACCUUGGUUUCAAGAACCAGCCACCGGUACCAGAAUCAGAGCACCUGACGUCGGCUCAGCUCCAGGCAGUGUACCAGGGUUUCAUCAAGGACUACCCUAUUGUGUCCAUUGAGGAUCCGUUCGAUCAGGAUGACUGGGAGGGCUGGAGUUCAAUUACCGCCAACACCACUAUCCAGAUCGUUGGUGACGAUCUCACUGUCACUAACCCUAAACGCAUCCAGAUGGCCUGCGAUAAGAAGGCCUGCAACUGUCUGCUGCUCAAGGUAAACCAAAUCGGUUCAAUCUCCGAGGCCAUUCAGGCCCACUUGCUGGCUAAAAAGAACGGCUGGGGAACAAUGGUGUCCCACCGCUCGGGUGAGACAGAAGACUGUACCAUUGCCGAUAUCGUUGUUGGUCUUAGCACCGGCCAAAUCAAAACCGGUGCGCCCUGUAGAUCGGAACGUCUUGCCAAAUACAACCAGAUCCUGCGCAUUGAGGAAGAAUUGGGCACCGCUGCCGUGUAUGCCGGGAAGAGCUUCAGGAAACCUCAAUAAAUUAACAAAGAGAAUGGGCUAUUAUGGGCUGCGCUGAAGUGGAACCAAUAUGGCGUUACGUUCUCUUAGUAUCCAGCCAUGACGUACAGCACACAACCAAUGUCCAUGACCUGUCUGGGAUCCAAUCAACGUAACCUGUUCCCCCGACCAUAGGCUGUACUUGGAGCUUUAGUUAUUCGCCGGUGUUAAGUGAACCUCUAUCCAAAACUUAAAAUUGCUAAUGCAGCUAUUAAUAGCAUAACGUUUGCUAGGAACUUGUUGUAGUUACCUGAUCUGAAUGGGAUAUCUUUUCAUCUCUACAAGUGUCUAACACUCUACGGCGCCACCGGAUUUAGGGUGUGCAGUCAGAUGGUCCAGCCAGCAACAGAUCGAUGCCCGUUGUCGAGAGUGGAAACACCUGAUCAUCACCCAAAGAAGACAGUAACAUCUGCAGAAAACACCGAUUUAACUAUAAGAAUAACUAUCAAAGCAGGAACUUCACAAACAGAAUAUUUUACAUUAGAGGUAACAACAGCACUUCUAAUAUAUAUAUAUAUAUAUAUAUAUAUAUAUAAUAUAUAUAUAUAUAUAUAUAUAUAUGCUGCCUCGAAGGUAACCCUAAAAAAUGUUCAAGCUGUUACUUCAUUCAAUCGAGGAAGUCAAAAUGAGCGAGUUGAAAGCCUGCUUUUGUGGCAUGACAUAAAAAUCGAUUUAAUUAAUAUCAUGUAUGUAUUUGACGGAGGUAGACUGUUCGCAUUCUUUCAAUCCGUUGAAACGAUUUUCGGUACUCGAAACCACGUAGUAUGAGGAUUAGCUAUUGUGUCAUUGUAUUCGACAGUUCCUAUAACGAAUUUACACCGGUGAUAAUCACGAAUGCAUUACCAUGCAAUCAUUUGCAAUGUUGUCGUCGAAGUGGCAGACCUGGUUGGACAGUACCUAGUGGAAAUUCCAUUAUGAAGACAAUAACAAUAAAAAUAAUCCUGUAACAUGUUUGGUUGAUGCUGCGUUUUUUACUGAAAUAUAGCAUUUCUCUUUCUAUUAAUAUAUUACUAAUUUAAUCUUUCUAUAUUCAUUUUUUGUUGCAGUUUUUACGGGAAUAUCAGAUUUAAAAAAGAACAUUUAGCUUUUAAUACACAGCACGGAGCGCAACAAUUGCGCUAUCCGUUUUUGUACUAAGCUCUUCAGAAAGAGUCUUCUGCGAUUUAUUUGCACUGCAUCUUUCUGCCAUUUUUCUUGUUUAAUAAUCGUUAUUUCUGCUAUUUUGACUGAUUUUAAUUAUAAAGUUAUCGCAGACGUUCAUUUGGGUUAGUUACUUAUUGCUAUACCAUUGUUCAGUUUUUUCGUUUCCCAUUUAUGUAAUCGGCGUAUAUUAGUACGGGUUCUAGCAAAAUUCUCCACAUAUUUGUCACUUAAAUUGAAGCCCUUUGUGAAGACUUAUUGCUUCACGUUGUUGUCUGUUGGUUUUUAAUUUACCUCUUGUACACCUACAAAAUUAUUUAAAUUCUUACAAAUUAAAAAUACUGACAUAUUUGCUUACUGAUUUGCGAACGCAACGAGUACAGAAAAAUCCUAGAGAAGCCUGACAGCUGAUAACCCAAAGUAGAUUGACAACACUUUGACACGUAACUGAGAUUAAAUCUGGUUACAACAACAACGGUGUUACGAUGCAUAUAUCGAUAUUCUGUUUAUGUAAACAUAAGUACGCUUAGUUUAUCUCGACGUAAUCAAUAACUAGGAAGCACGUUAGUGCCGUCAGAAAAAUCGGAUAAACCCAUUAAACUAACUAUAAUAUCGCUUCCGCAAGUCGAUUUUAACUGCUCUUAAGACAGUGUCAGUGCAGUAAGCGAUAACAACUGAAACACUUCGGACUUAAAUGUGAGAACCAAACAGCUUCUUUCCGCCGGUUUAAAGCCUUCAUUCUUUCAAUAAAUUUUCGAGCACUUUCAAUCCCGGUA
Varroa destructor (honeybee mite) is the source of this 3361-nucleotide RNA transcript. It is a transcript of the gene named alpha-enolase, with no coding region annotated. The record is from RefSeq and is a predicted model, not a curated record. Lineage: Eukaryota; Metazoa; Arthropoda; Arachnida; Mesostigmata; Varroidae.